RNAcentral lists this ribosomal RNA (375 nucleotides) under uncultured organism. RNAcentral's name for it is "bacterial SSU rRNA". It matches the Rfam family "Bacterial small subunit ribosomal RNA", at positions 526 to 896 of the family's 1533-position model. The record is from RNAcentral.
CAGAGGUCUCAAGCGUUGUUCGGAUUCAUUGGGCGUAAAGGGUGCGUAGGCGGCGCGGUAAGUCGGGUGUCGAAAUCUCGGAGCUUAACUCCGAAACUGCAUUCGAUACUGCCGUGCUUGAGGACUGGAGAGGAGACUGGAAUUUACGGUGUAGCGGUGAAAUGCGUAGAUAUCGUAAGGAAGACCAGUGGCGAAGGCGGGUCUCUGGACAGUUCCUGACGCUGAGGCACGAAGGCCAGGGGAGCAAACGGGAUUAGAUACCCCGGUAGUCCUGGCAGUAAACGGUGCACGUUUGGUGUGGGAGGAUUCGACCCCCUUCUCGCGCCGGAGCUAACGCGUUAAACGUGCCGCCUGGGGAGUACGGUCGCAAGAUUA